Long non-coding RNA from Callithrix jacchus (white-tufted-ear marmoset), 4380 nucleotides. RefSeq lists it as uncharacterized. NCBI's taxonomy places the organism in Eukaryota, Metazoa, Chordata, Mammalia, Primates, Cebidae. The record is from RefSeq and is a predicted model, not a curated record.
AAAGUGCUGGGAUUACAUACAGGCAUGAGCCACCACACCCAAUCUUUUUUUUUUGAACCAGUGUCUUGCUCUGUCACCAGGCUGGAGUGCAGUGGUGUGAUUACAGCGCACUGCAGCCUCGACCUCCUGGGCUCAAGCAGUCCUUCCAUCUUGACCUCGAGUAGCUGGGACUACAGACGUGAGCCACCACACCUAAUUUCGUUGUUGUUGUUGGUAGAGACAGGAUCUUGCUUUGUUGGCCAGGCUGGUCUCUAACUGUUGGCCUCAAGUGAUCCACUCACCUCAGCCUCCCAAAGUGCUGGGAUUACAGGCGUGAGCCACUGUGCCCGACUUUAUUUUUACUUUUAUCUGAGUCUUCUUGCUAGGGAAGAUUUUUUUUAAAAAAUCAGACUCAAAUAAUACAACUAUAAGGGGAAAAAUGAUAAAAAGCAUUAAAAUAAACAACUUCUGUUCAUCAAAAGACAUAAAUAGGAGAGUGAAAGGCAAUCUCCUGAGGGAGAAAAUGUUUAAAAAUAUACAUCCAAUAAAUGUCUUAUAUCACAAACAUUUCAAGGACUCAAUGGAACUAGUAAGAAAAAGACAAUUAGAAAAAUGAGUAGAAGAAUUGAACAGGCACUUCACAAAAAGAAUAUUCAAAUGAGCAACAGAUAUAAAAACAGUUCAUUAGUCAUCAGAGAAAUGCAAACUAACACCUCAGUGCAUCACUGCUGGGCACUCAGCCAAAUGGCUACAGUGAAAAAGACUAUCAAGUAGUGGGAAGAAUAUGCAGGAAUGGGAACCUGCGCACUGCUGGUGGGCAUGUAAACUGUACAAUUACUUCAGAGAACUGUUUGACACCAUAGACUAAAAAUGAACAUACAUCAGCAAUUUCAGUCCUAGGAAUACACUCAAACAGCAGUGCUUACAGAUUUUUUUUUUUUUAAUGUAGUCCCACUCUGUUGCCCAAGUUGGAGUGCAAUGGCGUAAUCUCGGCUCACUGCCAACAUCCAACUCCCAGGUUCAAGUGAUUCUCUGGCCUCAGCCUCUCAAGUAGCUGGGACUAUCGGUGACCACCAUGCCCAGCUAAGUUUUGUAUUUUUAGUAGAGAUGGGGUUUCACCAUGUUGGCCAGGCUGGUCUGCCCACCCCAGCCUCCCAAAGUGCUGGGAUUACAGGCGUGAGCCACUGCACCCGGCCUGCUUACAGCUGUUUACCAAAAUAUGUACAGGAACCUGUCUGUAGCAGCAAGAUACAAAAUGACCCCAUGGUAGGAACUGUCCAUCAACCCGUGUCCAGUAGAAUGGAUAAACAAAUUGUGGUCUAGCCAUACAGUGGAAUGUUAACACACCAACAAGAAUAAAUUACUGCUAACAAAACAUGAGUGAAUAUCACACAACAUAUUGAGUGUAAGAUGUCAGACACAUACGAGUAUAGAUGUAUGAUUCUGUGGAUGGUAAAUCCAAAACAGGCAAACCUAUUUUAUGGUGUUGGAAGCCAGGAAUGUGUAGUCAUGUUUUAUUUAUUGCUCUGAAUCAGGAAAUGUUCAUGUUAUGGAAAACGGUUGAGCUGUACACUUAUGAUUUAUGCGCUUACAUAUCACCUCCUUUAAGUCUAAAAAAUAACUAGACGUGGUUCCCUCUGAGUCAUUCCUGACCUGGAGUCCCCUAAGUUUUGUGUUUCAACGGGAGUUCCCCGCACUCCCCCUCUCGGUCGCACUUCUAGGAUGUGCUGUGAUUCUAAUGGACCUGUCUCCCUGGGGACCAGAGGACUGGCUCCGUCUGGUCCACCGCGGUCACCCUAGUCGUUGGCACAGUGGCUGCCCAGCCUGUAGUAGCUGCCUGUUAAAUGACUGUGGUGUAAUGCCUCAAUAGGUCCCUAACCCCAACUAGUUAGGCACUUGCUGAAUCACUGCCACAAUGACAAGCCGAAGAGUAGAGGCAGAGGCUGUGACCGGAGCAGAGAAGAAUGUGAGCACAAACAGUAUCCACCAAGCACUGACCGCCAGGCUCUUCCAGCGAGGCAAGCCAAAGGGGAGCCGCCCGCGCGAGCUUCUUUGCGACAGAAAAGGCAGUGAGCCCACAUGGGCGUUAUGAACAGCGCCGCGGGACGCUGCAGAGCCGCUGCAGACAGCGUGGUGUAGGCAAGAUGCUGUGAAGUCCUGCGUGGAAGAGAUGGAGAUGCGUUCGCCUCCCACUUCUUAGAGCUCUUAAGAUGUUGGUGAGCGCUGUGAAGCACCUACUGGAGAAGGGAACAGGGAGCAUUCCCCACAAUUGUUUCACUCUACGAGAAAUGUGAAUGUCUUCCUGGGCUUCUUGCUCCCGGGCAUGCCAGUUUGGGAAACACUAUCCUAAAACGCGUUUGAAAUGCUGGAGAGUGGAGGUAGUUAAAUUAGGCCAUCUAAGAUUCAUGAUCUCCCCUCCAAUCCGAUUUCCUCCUUUUCUCACCAGCCCGCCAAAUCGGAUGAGCUGCCUGUCCUGGGAGGGCUCUGGAGUCAACUGCCUGGGUUCACAACCAGCGCUCAUCACUUACUAGUUGUGUGGCCUUGGUGAAGUCACCAGACCUUUCUAGCCUUGCUUUCCUCAUCAAAUUAUGGUGUCUGCUUGCUGGUCUUCUUGCAAAGAUUAGAUGAGUCUACAUAAAGUAGAUCAGAUACCUGGCCCUCCACCCAAGUGCCCAGUUUGCUUUGACUCUACCAAGUACACCUCCAACCAGGGCCUUCCAUUUGCCCAACUCUGCUCUGCAAAAAGCUCUCCUUCUAGCAAGGCCUAUUUUGUUGUUGUUGUUGUUUGUUUCCAUUUCCUUUUUUUUCACAUCACGCUGGUAAGCCAACGCAUGACACAGUUUAAGGGAGGCACGUUUCACGCAUGUACGUGAGCACCCAGUCAUCAUGCUUAUGAACUACAAAGGGAUCAAGGCCCAUUUUUGCCUUAUUCAGGAAAGCUUUGCCUCCCCCAGCCCUGCCCACCUCCUUCCCUCAACGGCUACAGUGCUUUUCAUUGUAAAUAGUCUGUGCUCUGGCUGCUUAGCUCCCACUUUAGACUAAAAGUUCCUCAGAGCCAGGGAUGGUUCUUCAGGCUCUAGCUGGAGCAGAGGGACACUUGAGGGACACUCAGAUAAACAGGCCUUGACUGUGCCAAGUAGGGGCCAAGCGUUGGGACAGGUGGGUAUCAGACAGGGAUGAAGAAGGCUUGGUCCUGGCUCUGCACAGUUCAGUGGGGAAGACAGAUGCACGGAGGCAGUGGUGAGGGCUUGCCCACUGCUUGAAGUAGAGCCCUGUGGGAGGACAGGGAGUCCUCAGCGCUUCUUAAUAAACAUAGUACUUGCUGUCUGGAAGGGAGCAGCUUCUGGGCGAGGAACACUUGAAAGCCUUUUCCCUUUCUCCCUGGGAUUGGGAUGUCUGUGCUGAAGGGAGGGGCAGCUACUGCCUGGCACCUAGGGGAACCUCACAGGAUCAACCCGGAUGUUGGCUUGUCCCUCCCCCAUAUCCCUGGCUAGUUCCUUCCUGUCUUUCAUCACUGCCUUCUUCCUCUUCUGCCUUCUGCCUGGCCCCUCACCCCAACCACAGGGGCACAUCUCCUCCCCUGCCAUUAGUAAGGCCCACCUCCAACAUUUCUUCCCUCCCUUUCAUCCUUCCCCACAAAGGCCUCCUUAGCUUCCAUGACACUACUCUCCUGGCUUUUCUCCCGUCUCUGUGGGCACCUCUUCAGCGUCCUCUUCUUUGGUUUGUCUCUUAAAUGCCAGUGGGGUCCCUUCGGCUUCCCUCCUUGGCCCCCUACUCCACCCUCCGGGGUGAUGCCAUGCUGUUCCAUGAUGUCCACAUCUCUAUCUACAGCACACAUCAUCUCCCAAGGACCAUGCCCAUCAGCCCAAACCCCCGUUUGAGGGAUGCCCUUACAGGUACCCCUCAUUCAUCGCAUCCCAGACUGCACCAUUCACUGUUCCUCACUCUGCUCCUCCCUGGUGCUCCUCAUCUCUGGGAGGGGCAGUACCUCCAUCCAGAAACCUAGCCAUCUGAUUUGCCCCACUUGUUACUGGCAUCACUCUGGGAUCCAUCUGAUUCUUGCCGUGAUGGUUCAGGUACCCAGUGUCUCUGCCAUGUGGCCUGCUUGCCGCCUGCCUUGACAUCCUCAUCUGCUCUCUACAAGGUCAUCCAGGUAACUCUUCUCAAAGGAAAAUCUGAUCCUGUUGCUCCCGUUUAAAACCCCUCAGUGGCUCCCUGCCCACAGGAUAAAAAUCCAAGCUCCUGGCCGGGCAUAGUGGCUCAUGCCUGUAAUCCAAGCACUUUGGAGGCCAAGGUGGGUGGAUCACCUGAGGUUGGGAGUUCAAGACCAGCCUGACCAACAUGGUGAAACCUCGUCUUUAAAAAUAAAAACAAACAAAUAAAUAAAUAAAUAAAAUCCAA